GCAGUGGCAGUUCAGUGGUAGAAUUCUCACCUUCCAUGCCAGAGACCUGGGUUUGAUUCCUGACCAGUGCA
Molecule: transfer RNA, 71 nt
Filed under: Loxodonta africana (African savanna elephant)
Lineage: Eukaryota; Metazoa; Chordata; Mammalia; Proboscidea; Elephantidae
Rfam family: tRNA
About the family: Transfer RNA (tRNA) molecules are approximately 80 nucleotides in length. Their secondary structure includes four short double-helical elements and three loops (D, anti-codon, and T loops).
Source: Rfam by way of RNAcentral